This 497-nucleotide ribosomal RNA is filed under the name uncultured bacterium. Its description in RNAcentral is "partial 16S ribosomal RNA". It matches the Rfam family "Bacterial small subunit ribosomal RNA", at positions 28 to 507 of the family's 1533-position model. The record is from RNAcentral.
GAUGAACGCUGGCGGCGUGCCUAAUACAUGCAAGUCGAGCGAACAGACGAGGAGCUUGCUCCUCUGACGUUAGCGGCGGACGGGUGAGUAACACGUGGAUAACCUACCUAUAAGACUGGGAUAACUUCGGGAAACCGGAGCUAAUACCGGAUAAUAUAUUGAACCGCAUGGUUCAAUAGUGAAAGACGGUUUUGCUGUCACUUAUAGAUGGAUCCGCGCCGCAUUAGCUAGUUGGUAAGGUAACGGCUUACCAAGGCGACGAUGCGUAGCCGACCUGUGAGGGUGAUCGGCCACACUGGAACUGAGACGCGGUCCAGACGCCUGCGGGAGGCAGCAGUAGUGAAUCUUCCGCAAUGGGCGAAAGCCUGACGGAGCAACGCCGCGUGAGUGAUGAAGGUCUUCGGAUCGUAAAACUCUGUUAUUAGGGAAGAACAAAUGUGUAAGUAACUAUGCACGUCUUGACGGUACCUAAUCAGAAAGCCACGGCUAACUACGUG